RNAcentral lists this long non-coding RNA (785 nucleotides) under Ictidomys tridecemlineatus (thirteen-lined ground squirrel). Its description in RNAcentral is "lncRNA (ENSSTOG00000030386.1)". The record is from RNAcentral. Lineage: Eukaryota; Metazoa; Chordata; Mammalia; Rodentia; Sciuridae.
ACAGAUGGAACUCUCCAACAUGAAAAUCUGCGCAUCCAAUCCAACAAGCACGGCUCUGCCUGAGGUUGUCUGAAGGAUGCCGUGGGAAAAGACCAAAGAAUUGGGAGAGCUCUUACCCCAAGAUCGACUUUUUUUUUUUUAUCGGUCUGUACAACGAAGGUUGCCAUGGUCUUCUACUUCGCAUCCAAGGAUAUCUACUCAAGGAUAUGCUGAUAUCAAACCAGUUUCCAAGCAGAAAAUUCAUCUUGGAGGAAGAUAUUUUUCAAGAAAAAGUUACUUCAGCAGUUUAAAAAAAUUUUUUUGGAUGGUAGUAGUGGGUAUCAAACCCAUGGCCUCUUGUAUGCCAGGCAAGCACUCUACCACUGAGCCAUAUCCCCAAACAUUCCAGCAUUCUUUUAAAAAAUAUUUUCUCCUAUAGUAUCCUCCAGACUCUAAACUAAUAGUAGGUUUCUUAAGUUCAUCCAGAUCUCUCCUCCAUGUCAGAAUAUUCAGAAUACUCUGUGUGUGUGUGUGUGUGUGUGUGUGUGUGUGUGUGUGUGUGUAUGUGUGUUUGGGGGAGUAUACUAGGGAUUAAAACCAGGAACAUUCCCCACUUCUUUUAUUUUGAGACAGUCUUGCUGUGUUGUCCAGGCUGGCCUCAAACUUGCAGUCCUCCUGCCUCAACCUCCCCAGUAAUUAGAAAUUACAGGUGUUCAUGGUGUGUCUGGCCAUGUCUGUAUUCUUGGUCAUUUUGCUACCUUCUGGCUCCAAAGAUAAAGAAGAAAUAAUAAUAAAUGAAUAAAAAU